AUAACAAUACAGGACUCUUUCGAGGUCCUGUAAUUGGAAUGAGUACACUUUAAAUCCUUCAAUGAGGUUCUAUUGGAGGGGGAAAUCUGGUGCAGAGUGACUGACCCGUGCGUGCUGCAGCUGAAACUCCACUAUCGCCAGCUGCUG
Molecule: non-coding RNA, 147 nt
Organism: Pelobates cultripes (western spadefoot toad)
Lineage: Eukaryota; Metazoa; Chordata; Amphibia; Anura; Pelobatidae
Source: the annotation of a GenBank genome assembly